UACGGAGGGGACUAGCGUUGUUCGGAAUUACUGGGCGUAAAGCGCACGUAGGCGGAUUUGCAAGUCAGGGGUGAAAUCCCGGGGCUCAACCUCGGAACUGCCUUUGAUACUGCAAAUCUCGAGUCCGGAAGAGGUGAGUGGGAUUCCUAGUGUAGAGGUGAAAUUCGUAGAUAUUAGGAAGAACACCAGUGGCGAAGGCGGCUCACUGGUCCGGUACUGACGCUGAGGUGCGAAAGCGUGGGGAGCAAACAGG
Molecule: ribosomal RNA, 253 nt
Filed under: uncultured bacterium
Lineage: Bacteria
Description: partial 16S ribosomal RNA
Rfam family: Bacterial small subunit ribosomal RNA
Source: RNAcentral